This 254-nucleotide ribosomal RNA is filed under the name uncultured prokaryote. RNAcentral's name for it is "partial 16S ribosomal RNA". It matches the Rfam family "Bacterial small subunit ribosomal RNA", at positions 524 to 777 of the family's 1533-position model. The record is from RNAcentral.
UACGGAGGAUGCAAGCGUUAUCCGGAUUUAUUGGGUUUAAAGGGUGCGCAGGUUAUUUGAUAAGUCAGUGGUGAAAGUCUGUCGCUUAACGGUAGGAUUGCCAUUGAUACUGUUAGACUUGAAUAUGGAUGAGGUAGGCGGAAUGUGUAGUGUAGCGGUGAAAUGCAUAGAUAUUACACAGAACACCGAUUGCGAAGGCAGCUUACUAAUCCAUCAUUGACGCUGAGGCACGAAAGCGUGGGGAUCAAACAGGA